RNAcentral lists this transfer RNA (87 nucleotides) under Bacteriophage sp. RNAcentral's name for it is "tRNA-Leu". It matches the Rfam family "tRNA". Rfam says of the family: Transfer RNA (tRNA) molecules are approximately 80 nucleotides in length. Their secondary structure includes four short double-helical elements and three loops (D, anti-codon, and T loops). Further hydrogen bonds mediate the characteristic L-shaped molecular structure. tRNAs have two regions of fundamental functional importance: the anti-codon, which is responsible for specific mRNA codon recognition, and the 3' end, to which the tRNAs corresponding amino acid is attached (by aminoacyl-tRNA synthetases). tRNAs cope with the degeneracy of the genetic code in two manners: having more than one tRNA (with a specific anti-codon) for a particular amino acid; and 'wobble' base-pairing, i.e. permitting non-standard base-pairing at the 3rd anti-codon position. The record is from RNAcentral.
GCCUGUAUGAUGAAAUUGGAAAACAUGGCAGACUUAGAAUCUGUUGAGGUAACACUCUUGUAGGUUCAACUCCUACUACAGGCACCA